This is a long non-coding RNA of Artibeus jamaicensis (Jamaican fruit-eating bat), 485 nucleotides long. RefSeq lists it as uncharacterized. The transcript is spliced from 3 exons. NCBI's taxonomy places the organism in Eukaryota, Metazoa, Chordata, Mammalia, Chiroptera, Phyllostomidae. The record is from RefSeq and is a predicted model, not a curated record.
GUCACAGUAUACAAGCUGCUGCACAGGUGCUGACCACAAAGAAGAAGAAUUCACCUCAUCAGAGUCUGAUGCCUGCCAAGAUCUUUUGGUCUGUCUGUACCUUCUGGCAAACUCUCUGCUAAAAGAAAAGAAAGAAGAUGGGGGAGAAGACAUGCUGAGAUGAUGAAGAAACAAAUGUGCCAAAGAAUAAGAAGCAGUAAACUGCUCUCAAAUGCCAAAAUGGACAACACAGAGUUGAAGAAACUGCCCCAAGAUGGUCUGUCUGAGACAGGGCAAAACUUUGCUGCUGAAGAAAAGGGAAACCAGUACGGUUUCCUUGAUUAACUAUUCAGAUUUCUCUCUCACUAUUCCUUUCAGUUUGGUCUUCCCUAGGACAUCUUCCUUGCAAGGCUUCCAGUCCUUGGACACACAAUCAUAAAAAUAGCCCAAAUCUUACAUGUAGUGAAGAUCAAACAAGAAUGAAAUAAAAAAAUAAUAAACCUAUU